RNAcentral lists this ribosomal RNA (253 nucleotides) under uncultured bacterium. RNAcentral describes it as "partial 16S ribosomal RNA". It matches the Rfam family "Bacterial small subunit ribosomal RNA", at positions 524 to 776 of the family's 1533-position model. The record is from RNAcentral.
UACGAGGGGGGCGAGCGUUGUUCGGAAUUAUUGGGCGUAAAGGGUGCGUAGGCGGUUUGGUAAGUCUGAUGUGAAAUCUAUGGGCUCAACUCAUAGUCUGCAUCGGAAACUGCCGGGCUUGAGUGUGGGAGAGGUGAGUGGAAUUCCUGGUGUAGCGGUGAAGUGCGUAGAUAUCAGGAGGAACACCUGUGGCGAAAGCGGCUCACUGGACCAUAACUGACGCUGAUGCACGAAAGCUAGGGGAGCAAACAGG